GACGAACGCUGGCGGCGUGCCUAAUACAUGCAAGUAGAACGCUGAAGAGAGGAGCUUACUCUUCUUGGAUGAGUUGCGAACGGGUGAGUAACGCGUAGGUAACCUGCCUUGUAGCGGGGGAUAACUAUUGGAAACGAUAGCUAAUACCGCAUAACAAUGGAUGACACAUGUCAUUUAUUUGAAUGGGGCAAUUGCUCCACUACAAGAUGGACCUGCGUUGUAUUAGCUAGUAGGUGAGGUAAUGGCUCACCUAGGCGACGAUACAUAGCCGACCUGAGAGGGUGAUCGGCCACACUGGGACUGAGACACGGCCCAGACUCCUACGGGAGGCAGCAGUAGGGAAUCUUCGGCAAUGGGGGCAACCCUGACCGAGCAACGCCGCGUGAGUGAAGAAGGUUUUCGGAUCGUAAAGCUCUGUUGUAAGUCAAGAACGGGUGUGAGAGUGGAAAGUUCACACUGUGACGGUAGCUUACCAGAAAGGGACGGCUAACUACGUG
Molecule: ribosomal RNA, 497 nt
Filed under: uncultured bacterium
Lineage: Bacteria
Description: partial 16S ribosomal RNA
Rfam family: Bacterial small subunit ribosomal RNA
Source: RNAcentral